CAACAGGUGCCUGGUACAGACGACUCGGAACUCCGUUGUAUCAUUAUAGACAAGGAAGUCGACCGCCAAGCGAAAGACAUAAAGUAUCAAGAAUCCCAGGUCGAAGGAGGAUGGAUCGAAGACCAUGCAUUGAUAGACGAAG
RNAcentral lists this non-coding RNA (142 nucleotides) under Pseudo-nitzschia fraudulenta. The record is from RNAcentral. Lineage: Eukaryota; Bacillariophyta; Bacillariophyceae; Bacillariales; Bacillariaceae.